AUGGACAAGGCAGACUGCGUCUCCAUCGCGGCGAUGUGGGUUGGGCUUGACGACAUCUCCCGUGGUGGGUCGGGGACCAGAGGUGAGGAUUGGGAGCAAGGGUGGAGGACGGCGAGGGUCCAAGUGCGGGAAAGGUUGAAGGGCAGCGAGAGGAGGACGAAGGGCGCCGGCGGAGCUCAUCCUCGCCCCUCGGAUGCCUAUGCGGGCCACCGCAGCUCGCGGCAGGUCCUGAGCAAGUGGCUUGAUGGCAGCAGCGACCAGAGGAGGAGAUGGAUGCGCGUGAAGGUCCUGAAGAUGUUGAAUAGCCCAGGGCGUGCCACCUUGGACCAUGGGGAGGCCACCACCAUGUAUCCGCCUGGGAGGCCAGGGACGGAGCCGAAGCCGAGGAAGAUCCAUGAGGAGAGGAUGGCACGCACCUCCCAGCCGGCCAGCCGGAGCGGCGACCUAGCAUGCCGCGGGAUCUCGGAUGGAGGUUGGAGGGCAGCAUCAGGAGGAGAGAUGGAGACCCAAAAGUACACAUGA
This 522-nucleotide ribosomal RNA is filed under the name Triticum aestivum (bread wheat). RNAcentral describes it as "partial small subunit ribosomal RNA". Lineage: Eukaryota; Viridiplantae; Streptophyta; Magnoliopsida; Poales; Poaceae. The record is from RNAcentral.